CACGUAGGGGGCAAGCGUUGUCCGGAUUUAUUGGGCGUAAAGAGCUCGUAGGUGGUUCGGUAAGUCAGGUGUGAAACCUCCAGGCUCAACCUGGAGACGCCACUUGAUACUGCUGUGACUGGAGUCCGGUAGGGGAGCGUGGAAUUCCUGGUGUAGCGGUGAAAUGCGCAGAUAUCGGGAAGAACACCCGUGGCGAAGGCGGUUCUCUGGGACGGUACUGACGCUGAGACGCGAAAGCGUGGGGAGCGAACAGG
RNAcentral lists this ribosomal RNA (254 nucleotides) under uncultured bacterium. RNAcentral's name for it is "partial 16S ribosomal RNA". It matches the Rfam family "Bacterial small subunit ribosomal RNA", at positions 524 to 776 of the family's 1533-position model. The record is from RNAcentral.